Molecule: long non-coding RNA, 332 nt
Filed under: Oryza brachyantha (malo sina)
Lineage: Eukaryota; Viridiplantae; Streptophyta; Magnoliopsida; Poales; Poaceae
Description: long non-coding RNA (OBRA_LNC001931)
Source: RNAcentral
CCCCCGCCGUCAAAUCUGCCGCGGGACGCGCCGGCGCCAAGCUCCACCGCUUGCCGGGGCCGACGUCGGCCGCCGCCGCCCCCUGUGGCCGAGAGAGAGCAGAGAGAGGAGGGAGAGAGAUGGAGAGGAGACAGCUAAGAACAGGAAAAAAGUAAAUGUAAAAGUUUUGGUAGGAUCCACGCGAAGCCGUGUGUGCAUUUUGGAGCAUGUAUACUAUCUGUGGCUUAGUACUACGUAGUAUCUCUUUUUUGUCCGAGACUCCUACAUAGAGCUUCUUUUCUAUCCGAGACUUUUACGUAGGGCUUCUUUUUUAUCCGAUUCCUACAUAGAGC